Molecule: ribosomal RNA, 446 nt
Filed under: uncultured bacterium
Lineage: Bacteria
Description: bacterial SSU rRNA
Rfam family: Bacterial small subunit ribosomal RNA
Source: RNAcentral
UGCCAGACUCCUACGGGAGGCAGCAGUGGGGAAUAUUGGGCAAUGGGGGAAACCCUGACCCAGCGACGCCGCGUGAGGGAAGAAGGUUUUCGGAUUGUAAACCUCUGUCCUUGGUGACGAUAAUGACGGUAGCCAAGGAGGAAGCCACGGCUAACUACGUGCCAGCAGCCGCGGUAAUACGUAGGGGGCAAGCGUUAUCCGGAUUUACUGGGUGUAAAGGGAGCGUAGACGGUUAUGCAAGUCUGGAGUGAAAGGCGGGGGCUCAACCCCCGGACUGCUCUGGAAACUGUAGAACUAGAGUGCAGGAGGGGUAAGUGGAAUUCCUAGUGUAGCGGUGAAAUGCGGAGAUAUACGGAGGAACACCAGUGGCGAAGGCGGUCUGCUGGACAGCAACUGACGCUGAGGCGCGAAAGCGUGGGGAGCAAACAGGAUUAGAUCCCCCAGUG